AACCUUCUCUCAACCACCGCCCUGGGCCAAAAUCUCCCAGCCACUGCUCAGAGGGCUUGCUCUCUGUAGCGGUGUUUGUUGGUUGUAGAUUCUGGCAGCUCGUCCAUCAUGGAGCCAUCUCUCUUUUCCCGGUAGAUUGCUUCGGACGACAGGCGCGAAGAACAACUUUGGCAGCAUCCGGCAGCCUGAGCUCACCGCAAGGUUUGAGCUCGGUGUAAGGGUGUCUGCCAGGCAGACUGAUUCCGUUUCCCUUAUGCUAGGCCGUCGGCCAUUGAUGCUUGGGACUAACCCAGUCGGCUACAUGC
Molecule: small RNA, 305 nt
Filed under: Exserohilum turcica Et28A
Lineage: Eukaryota; Fungi; Ascomycota; Dothideomycetes; Pleosporales; Pleosporaceae
Description: Setosphaeria turcica Et28A A. fumigatus sRNA Afu_309
Rfam family: A. fumigatus sRNA Afu_309
Source: Rfam by way of RNAcentral